This 1982-nucleotide ribosomal RNA is filed under the name Escherichia coli. RNAcentral describes it as "partial 23S ribosomal RNA". It matches the Rfam family "Bacterial large subunit ribosomal RNA", at positions 338 to 2308 of the family's 2925-position model. Lineage: Bacteria; Pseudomonadati; Pseudomonadota; Gammaproteobacteria; Enterobacterales; Enterobacteriaceae. The record is from RNAcentral.
GCGUCUGGAAAGGCGCGCGAUACAGGGUGACAGCCCCGUACACAAAAAUGCACAUGCUGUGAGCUCGAUGAGUAGGGCGGGACACGUGGUAUCCUGUCUGAAUAUGGGGGGACCAUCCUCCAAGGCUAAAUACUCCUGACUGACCGAUAGUGAACCAGUACCGUGAGGGAAAGGCGAAAAGAACCCCGGCGAGGGGAGUGAAAAAGAACCUGAAACCGUGUACGUACAAGCAGUGGGAGCACGCUUAGGCGUGUGACUGCGUACCUUUUGUAUAAUGGGUCAGCGACUUAUAUUCUGUAGCAAGGUUAACCGAAUAGGGGAGCCGAAGGGAAACCGAGUCUUAACUGGGCGUUAAGUUGCAGGGUAUAGACCCGAAACCCGGUGAUCUAGCCAUGGGCAGGUUGAAGGUUGGGUAACACUAACUGGAGGACCGAACCGACUAAUGUUGAAAAAUUAGCGGAUGACUUGUGGCUGGGGGUGAAAGGCCAAUCAAACCGGGAGAUAGCUGGUUCUCCCCGAAAGCUAUUUAGGUAGCGCCUCGUGAAUUCAUCUCCGGGGGUAGAGCACUGUUUCGGCAAGGGGGUCAUCCCGACUUACCAACCCGAUGCAAACUGCGAAUACCGGAGAAUGUUAUCACGGGAGACACACGGCGGGUGCUAACGUCCGUCGUGAAGAGGGAAACAACCCAGACCGCCAGCUAAGGUCCCAAAGUCAUGGUUAAGUGGGAAACGAUGUGGGAAGGCCCAGACAGCCAGGAUGUUGGCUUAGAAGCAGCCAUCAUUUAAAGAAAGCGUAAUAGCUCACUGGUCGAGUCGGCCUGCGCGGAAGAUGUAACGGGGCUAAACCAUGCACCGAAGCUGCGGCAGCGACGCUGAUGCGUUGUUGGGUAGGGGAGCGUUCUGUAAGCCUGCGAAGGUGUGCUGUGAGGCAUGCUGGAGGUAUCAGAAGUGCGAAUGCUGACAUAAGUAACGAUAAAGCGGGUGAAAAGCCCGCUCGCCGGAAGACCAAGGGUUCCUGUCCAACGUUAAUCGGGGCAGGGUGAGUCGACCCCUAAGGCGAGGCCGAAAGGCGUAGUCGAUGGGAAACAGGUUAAUAUUCCUGUACUUGGUGUUACUGCGAAGGGGGGACGGAGAAGGCUAUGUUGGCCGGGCGACGGUUGUCCCGGUUUAAGCGUGUAGGCUGGUUUUCCAGGCAAAUCCGGAAAAUCAAGGCUGAGGCGUGAUGACGAGGCACUGCGGUGCUGAAGCAACAAAUGCCCUGCUUCCAGGAAAAGCCUCUAAGCAUCAGGUAACAUCAAAUCGUACCCCAAACCGACACAGGUGGUCAGGUAGAGAAUACCAAGGCGCUUGAGAGAACUCGGGUGAAGGAACUAGGCAAAAUGGUGCCGUAACUUCGGGAGAAGGCACGCUGAUAUGUAGGUGAAGUCCCUCGCGGAUGGAGCUGAAAUCAGUCGAAGAUACCAGCUGGCUGCAACUGUUUAUUAAAAACACAGCACUGUGCAAACACGAAAGUGGACGUAUACGGUGUGACGCCUGCCCGGUGCCGGAAGGUUAAUUGAUGGGGUUAGCGCAAGCGAAGCUCUUGAUCGAAGCCCCGGUAAACGGCGGCCGUAACUAUAACGGUCCUAAGGUAGCGAAAUUCCUUGUCGGGUAAGUUCCGACCUGCACGAAUGGCGUAAUGAUGGCCAGGCUGUCUCCACCCGAGACUCAGUGAAAUUGAACUCGCUGUGAAGAUGCAGUGUACCCGCGGCAAGACGGAAAGACCCCGUGAACCUUUACUAUAGCUUGACACUGAACAUUGAGCCUUGAUGUGUAGGAUAGGUGGGAGGCUUUGAAGUGUGGACGCCAGUCUGCAUGGAGCCGACCUUGAAAUACCACCCUUUAAUGUUUGAUGUUCUAACGUUGACCCGUAAUCCGGGUUGCGGACAGUGUCUGGUGGGUAGUUUGACUGGGGCGGUCUCCUCCUAAAGAGUAACGGAGGAG